This 447-nucleotide ribosomal RNA is filed under the name uncultured bacterium. RNAcentral describes it as "partial 16S ribosomal RNA". It matches the Rfam family "Bacterial small subunit ribosomal RNA", at positions 29 to 523 of the family's 1533-position model. The record is from RNAcentral.
AACGAACGCUGGCGGCAGGCUUAACACAUGCAAGUCGAGCGCCCCGCAAGGGGAGCGGCAGACGGGUGAGUAACGCGUGGGAACGUACCCUUUUCUACGGAAUAACCCAGGGAAACUUGGACUAAUACCGUAUACGCCCUUCGGGGGAAAGAUUUAUCGGAGAAGGAUCGGCCCGCGUUGGAUUAGCUAGUUGGUGGGGUAAAGGCCUACCAAGGCGACGAUCCAUAGCUGGUCUGAGAGGAUGAUCAGCCACAUUGGGACUGAGACACGGCCCAAACUCCUACGGGAGGCAGCAGUGGGGAAUAUUGGACAAUGGGCGCAAGCCUGAUCCAGCCAUGCCGCGUGAGUGAUGAAGGCCUUAGGGUUGUAAAGCUCUUUCACCGGGGAAGAUAAUGACGGUACCCGGAGAAGAAGCCCCGGCUAACUUCGUGCCAGCCGCCGCAGUAA